AAUUCUCAACUUUGAAGCAUUGUUUUGUUUUUCAAAGCUUGGACUGUGGAGGCCUGCCGGCAAAUAAUGUCAGCUCCUCUUAAAUGCAUUAGCAGAACCUUUUGUUUUAAAGGACUGGCUUCAGUUUGGUAAUUCUAUCUAUGCUGUCGCUGUCGACCCUUUGUAUGUUCUGCUUCUAAUGGUCUUUGGACUGUCUCUAUGAGGCAUACACUUUUAA
Molecule: unclassified non-coding RNA, 217 nt
Filed under: uncultured Ramariopsis
Lineage: Eukaryota; Fungi; Basidiomycota; Agaricomycetes; Agaricales; Clavariaceae
Description: partial internal transcribed spacer 2
Source: RNAcentral